Molecule: non-coding RNA, 784 nt
Filed under: Neohydnus sinensis
Lineage: Eukaryota; Metazoa; Arthropoda; Insecta; Coleoptera; Cleridae
Source: RNAcentral
AGUUUAAUUUUGAUUUUAAAAUUUUUUUAAUUUUUAAAUUUACAUGUAAAUUUUUGUGUUUAAUAAUAAUUUUUUAAAAAGAAAUUAUUUUAAAUUUAUUCACAGUAUAAAAUAUUAUAUAUAAAAUAAAUUUUGAUAUAGAAAUAAAGUUUAAAAUUAACAAAAUUUGUGCCAGCAGUUGCGGUUACACAAAUAAUUUAAAAAAAUUUUUUUUGGGAGUAGUUAAAUUAAUAUUUAAAAAUAAUUUAAAAUAAAUAUUUUUAGGUGAAAUUUAAAUUUUUAAAAAGAUUAUUAAAUAUUUUUUGAGACUAGUAAAUUUAAAUUUAAAACUAGGAUUAGAUACCCUAUUAUUUUAAACUUAAUUAAAAAUUCCAAAUUAGUAAAAGUUAUGUUCUCUAAAAUUAAAAAAUUUGGCGGUAUUUUAAUCUUUUCAGAGGAACCUGUUCUAUAAUUGAUAAUCCACGAUUAAUUAUACUUAUUUUAGAAAUUUAUAUAUCAUCGUAGGUUGAAUGUUUUAAAAGAAGUUAAUAACAUUCAAAAUUUUGAAUAAUAAAAAGAAAUCAGAUCAAGGUGUAGUUUAUAGAUAAGAAGAAAUGGGUUACAAUAAAUUUUAUUUAUGGAUAAAUUUAUGAAAUUAAAUUUUAAAAUUGGAUUUGAAAGUAAUUUUUUAUAUUUAUGAAAAAUGACUAAAGCUCUAAAAUAUGUACAUAUUGCCCGUCGCUUUUGUUUUAAGAUGAAAUAAGUCGUAACAAAGUAGAUUUACUGGAAAGUGAAUCUAGAUUUU